GCCUAUGGCCAUACCACCCUAAAUGUGUCUGUUCUUGGAAGCUAAGCAGGGCCGUGCCAGAUUAGUCUUUGGAUGGGCGCCACCUAGGAAUACGAGGUGCAGUAGACU
Ribosomal RNA from Mustela putorius furo (domestic ferret), 108 nucleotides. NCBI's taxonomy places the organism in Eukaryota, Metazoa, Chordata, Mammalia, Carnivora, Mustelidae. The record is from Ensembl.